AACGAACGCUGGCGGCAUGCCUAACACAUGCAAGUCGAACGAGACCUUCGGGUCUAGUGGCGCACGGGUGCGUAACGCGUGGGAACCUGCCCUUAGGUUCGGAAUAACUCCCCGAAAGGGGUGCUAAUACCGGAUAAUGUCUUCGGACCAAAGAUUUCUCGCCUUUGGAUGGGCCCGCGUUGGAUUCGCUAGUUGGUAGGGUAAAAGCCUACCAAGGCGACGAUCCAUAGCUGGUCUGAGAGGAUGAUCAGCCACACUGGGACUGAGACACGGCCCAGACUCCUACGGGAGGCAGCAGUGGGGAAUAUUGGACAAUGGGCGAAAGCCUGAUCCAGCAAUGCCGCGUGAGUGAUGAAGGCCUUAGGGUUGUAAAGCUCUUUUACCCGGGAUGAUAAUGACAGUACCGGGAGAAUAAGCUCCGGCUAACUCCGUG
Molecule: ribosomal RNA, 433 nt
Filed under: uncultured bacterium
Lineage: Bacteria
Description: partial 16S ribosomal RNA
Rfam family: Bacterial small subunit ribosomal RNA
Source: RNAcentral